Molecule: transfer RNA, 72 nt
Organism: Camelus ferus (Wild Bactrian camel)
Lineage: Eukaryota; Metazoa; Chordata; Mammalia; Artiodactyla; Camelidae
Rfam family: tRNA
About the family: Transfer RNA (tRNA) molecules are approximately 80 nucleotides in length. Their secondary structure includes four short double-helical elements and three loops (D, anti-codon, and T loops).
Source: Rfam
GAGGGUAUAGCUCAGUGGCAGAGUGAGUGCUUAGCAUGCACAAGGUUCUGGGUUAAAUCCCCAGUACCUUUG